AUGGUGGCGAGCGCAGCUGGUUCGGCCGUCCCGCCAGGACGGUCGUGGCAACAGGGAACCCGGUGGGAAUCCGGGACUGCCCCGCAGCGGUGAGUGGGAACGACCGCCGUCAAUCAAGCACUGGGCCGGCCACGGCCUGGGAAGCGACGGCCAGUAGGAACGCCCGUCCGGCUCCGGCCGGCCGGAAACAGCCCACGAGUCCGAAGACCUGCCAGCGCGCCGGACCGGUA
This 230-nucleotide non-coding RNA is filed under the name Cryptosporangium arvum. Lineage: Bacteria; Bacillati; Actinomycetota; Actinomycetes; Cryptosporangiales; Cryptosporangiaceae. The record is from RNAcentral.